Long non-coding RNA from Solea solea (common sole), 406 nucleotides. RefSeq lists it as uncharacterized. NCBI's taxonomy places the organism in Eukaryota, Metazoa, Chordata, Actinopteri, Pleuronectiformes, Soleidae. The transcript has 3 exons. The record is from RefSeq and is a predicted model, not a curated record.
CAAAGACAAAGUGGAUCAGUCAAAGUCGACCUAUAAUAAACAUGUGCUAUCUUAUUCUCUGAGGACAGUGCAAGUGAAGCUCGGCUGCGGCUUGGUUGGACUCACCUCUGCACAGAUGAGAAGGGUCUUUUCACGCGUCUGACCGGGUGGCUUUGCUCUGAGAGUUGCUGCAGCUUCAUCCUUUCACGACCCAGACGCCCAGUAAGAGCGGAAGCACGGAAAUGAGGAGGCCGUUAACAGCAAGAAGGCUUUAAUCAAAAGCACAGGCUUCUUUUUUAUUGACCGUUGCACGCACAGGAACAGGCGGUGCUGGGGGUCGGAGAAGGGCGGCUCCGAGUCAUCCAUGGGCAGCACCAGGCGCGUGCCCCGCAUCACCAGCUCGUGAUCCCCGUACGCGAGCUCUCUG